AUUUCCUUUAUAGUUUAUUGUAAUACAAGAAAAACAAAUCUAGAAAGCACAUUUCAUGGAGCACCAUAUUGUAACAAAAUUUUGCUGGCUCUCCUGCAAAGUGUAUUUUUGACAUUUAAACAAUGACACACACAUAGUCAGUACACACAGGCAUCUACAUCCCAGUGAUCUUACUAGGAGCCCCAAAGAGACCCUUCUUUCAAAUACAGAAACACUAAGGUGCACAGAGGAAUGCCAAUGUGAGGGCAUCUGAACGCCAACUGAGUUAAUUACUCUUUUGUUAGCGAUCUUCAUAAGCACACAAGCAUUCAUUGUCUCACCCCAGUCUCUCUUCUCUAAAGCCUUCAAAUUGGGCCCAAAGGUCACUGAAUAUGGAUCCAGCAUAGACUGGUGUAGAGUUGAACAAAACUGGCCAAUAUUCCCUACCUGAUAACUCUUAUUGCUUUGGUUAUAGUACUGAAUGAAAGUCUUUAAAACUCUUAAACCUACACUCCACAUCACAGAAAAGCCACUUUCACACAUACAGAAACCUACACUCCAUAUCACAGAAAAGCCACUUUCCCCACACACACCUGAACGCAUAGAACUGAUAGCUUUUUGAGAAGCUUUGUGGGCUUCCCCACCAAGAUCACCUUCAUAAAAAUGAUUGCUUUUCUUUUUAAAAAGUGUUCAGACAGUUGUUCAACAAUAUAUUUUAUAAUAUAUUUCUUUCUUUUUAAUAGACAGGGAAUGUUUUCCUGCUGGCUUAAAUCUAUGUCAUUGUCUACACAAGCAAGAGCAAAAUGUUAUCGUUUUCAUGUGUACAAAAUGUUUUACAUUCAUUUUAUACAGUGCUAAAUAAUGAUGCUAAGCACAGAACAGUGUAGAAUGAUAGCACACAAUAGCUUUUUACCUUGCUCAAAAUGCAAAAGUACUGGAAGUUUCCCAUACUAAUGCUGAGACACAGUAUUAGGGUUUCUAUUACAGUGUCCUUCCAGACUACUUUCAGACAGCUAUUUUGUGAGCGAUUGCUCAAUAUGUAUGUCAGACUGAAGCACCUCGAGUAAUAUGGUUUUAGUGUCCUGAAAAGUGAGAAUAACAGACAAAAGCAAAUCCAGCCUCACAGCAGACUAGGACAAGAGUUAAGUACAAUGCUAGCAAGAUAGCAAAAUUUCUGCCUGGACUCAAACCAACCCACAGUUACAAUAAUUUGGGGUAUAUGGCAAUUUCUAUCAUUAACUGAGGACAAUGCAUGAAGUUUAAUUUAAAACCUUUUCUAUAAAAUAUUUUGAUUUUGUCAACCAAACAAAAAAAUGAAGGGCUUUUAUUUCUAUCAGCCAGUUACAAAAGAUAUUUCAUCAAAGCACAUCUCUUUGAAAUACUUUUCCUACUUUUGACCUUAAAUUUUCUGGAGAAAUUUAAGGAUUUGCAGAAUAUAUUUCUGCUUGACAAUCAGUUAGAACGAGCUAUCUUUAAGUUUUGGGCAGCGUAAGGCAUUCAUAUUGCCAAGAAAGAAAUGAAGUUAUUGUGUAUUUUUUCUUGUGGAAAACCACUGUGGAUUUCCCAUUUACAGGAGCAAAUUUCAUAAUUCCUUUAUCCUGUGUGAGGAACAAACAUCUAUGAAAAACAUGAAAAAAUAAUGGAAAUUCAAAAAGAGAAAAUGUACUUGAAAAAUACUUUAGAUAUGCAAAGGGAUAUUAACCAACUGAAUUACUAACUCAGACUCUCUCCUCUGAGCUAAAGGUAUGUUUCAAUAGCUGUGCUAAACAUUUGGCUAGCAUUUCCCAGGCAAACAGUUCAAACUUCAACUGUGUGAUGGGGAAAAAAAAGAAAAAAAAAAAGACUAACUAGUUUAAGUUACAAAAACUAUGGAGUUGUUAUGGAUUGCUAUGUAUUAAUAAGGUUUCAGGUGACUGAAGAAUAGGAUAUAAUAAGGAAAAUAUAUUGUGCUGGGUGUAUCAAUACAUAUUUUCACUUGGAGUAGCAUCUCCUGAGUAAAAGGACAGUGUAAUAAAAGCAGAAGGGAUUCAGAGACAGGCAAAGAGUAUGGACCUCUAUAAGAAUGUGAAUUAUUGUUUGGCUUAAGAAGCAAACAAGAAGUAUGUAGUUUUUGAUAUAGAGUAUAUAAUCGCUGAGAUACAGAAUUAAAAUUGGGAUCACUCCUGUUUAUACUGGUUUAGCAUAAAAGAGCAAGAGAUGAGAACGACAUUGAAAAGCACUCAAUUUGAAUCUGAAAAAAGAAUCUGCUUUUAUUUGUUUUUCUUUGUUCUUAAACAUAAUGGGUUUUUCUUUUAGCAUUCUCCACCUCAAGAACUAUUUAGAUCUCAAAACUUAGGAUCAGCUUCUCACAGGGAUGAUGAGACAUCCACAAUGACGUUAGACAAGACAAAAAUAUAAGGGCUGAAGCUAAUGAAAAAUCCAGAUGAAAUUAUUGCACCUUCCCCUGAAGCAUCUGAUACAGUCAGAGGUAGGACACUGGAUUAAAUAAACCAUGUAGUUUAACUAUGUUACUGUUUCUAUGAUAUUAGGUUUAAAAAUUUCAGCUGUACAGUCCAGUUACUCAUGCAAAUAUAUAACAAUCUUCCACACUGAGCAAUGAGUUACAGUAACAUUAAUGAAUGGGAGGACAGAAUAAUUGUUAUUACUGGUCUUAGAUACCACUGUGGUGCAUGCGUAUGUAUACACAUACAUAAAAAAUUAUGAGAUAUAUAUAUGCAUACAUAAAUGCAUACAUACAUAUACCCAUGCACACAGACACAUGCCUUCUGGGAAGUGGGGCUCACCAGAAGGUCUGAACACUGUUCUUUACACCCUUCUCUGAUACACAUUACCAAACUGUGUAAGAGUGUGUGUGUAUAUGUUUAACUGUGUCUUGAGGAAAAUGUGAAAAGGAAAGGAAGCAUGUAUGUGAAUGUGGGAGAAAACACUCUCAUUAUUUGAGACCUGUGCUUGAAAACACAUUUCCAAAUGUACAUUGGCUAAGUUGACCGACAGCCAAGCAAGAAGAAAUACAGAAUAUUAAAAGGAUAUUGUGAGAAUGAAAAUAUUUAUGUAUGUAUUUUCUAUUCUUUCCUAUGUUAGUAUUAAUACCUCACAUUCCUGACAACUGGCAGGAUAAGAAAUUAAAAGAACUAAUUUGAUUUUUGCCACUUAAUCCUGUUUAUCUGUUUCAUGUUUCUGCCCAAGUUGAGAGAAAAAUUGAAUAGUCCAUCUCC
This is a long non-coding RNA of Strigops habroptila (Kakapo), 3194 nucleotides long. Lineage: Eukaryota; Metazoa; Chordata; Aves; Psittaciformes; Psittacidae. The record is from Ensembl.